CGCUUGGCUCGUCUAACGGCCAAGGCUUCCUGAUUUCGGGCCCGGCCUGCAAAGUGAGGCCUCGGGCUGGGGUUGGCGGGCCCGUGGUGGGAACCGCGUGGAACCGAAGAGCUCCCACGGGAACAAGGGCAUCACUGACGAAACUGAGGUACAGAGAGGCUAAGUAACCUGCUCAAUGUGACCGACCUAUUAAGAGGAGCUGGGAAGUUGAACCCCGCAAUCUGGCUCCUGAGCCAUGAAAAAGCAGGAUGUGAUGGAGCUGAGAAAGCCAUGUGGCUAGCUGGGCGUGGUGGCUCAUGCUUGUAAUCCCAGCACUUUGGGAGGCUGAGGUAUCAUUUGCCAUAAUUUAAAAGUGGAGAAAUAUGGAAGAAUUAUCACCAAUCCAGACAUAGAAAUACUCAAGAGUAACAGAAUAUACACCUAAAAUGGUUUCUGCUAGCCUUUAUUUGUGAAAAUUUACACAAAACCCCCCAAUCCAACAUUUACAAGUGAAUCUGUAUAAAUCCCACAUGACUCUUUCCCAAACAAAUCAAAAAAAUGGCUUUAUGACAGGGGUCCAUGACAAUGGUAUAACAAAGCUCACUUAAACUGUGUCCUCAUUUAUAUUAUACAGACCAUUUUGGUUAAUAUGCUCAAAAACGGAGGAAAGCAGAUAACACCCGUUUUUAAAGCUUAUUUGCUCUUAUAUCAGUUUUUUGUCAAAGGCAAUACUUUUCCUUUUUGGAUAAAACCAAAGUAUAAUAUCAAUUAACUUUUAAAACAAAAGCACAAAAUGUC
This is a long non-coding RNA of Callithrix jacchus (white-tufted-ear marmoset), 777 nucleotides long. RefSeq lists it as uncharacterized. NCBI's taxonomy places the organism in Eukaryota, Metazoa, Chordata, Mammalia, Primates, Cebidae. The record is from RefSeq and is a predicted model, not a curated record.